RNAcentral lists this unclassified non-coding RNA (345 nucleotides) under soil metagenome. RNAcentral's name for it is "partial contains 5.8S ribosomal RNA, internal transcribed spacer 2, and large subunit ribosomal RNA". The stretch from base 1 to 120 matches the Rfam family "5.8S ribosomal RNA", at positions 35 to 154 of the family's 154-position model. The record is from RNAcentral.
GAUGAAGAACGCAGCGAAAUGCGAUAAGUAAUGCGAAUUGCAGAAUUCAGUGAAUCAUCGAGUCUUUGAACGCACAUUGCGCCCCCUGGUAUUCCGGGGGGCAUGCCUGUCCGAGCGUCAUUGCUGCCCUAAAGCACGGCUUGUGUGUUGGGCCUCCGUCCUCCUCCCGGGGGACGGGCCCGAAAGGCAGCGGCGGCACCGCGUCCGGUCCUCGAGCGUAUGGGGCUUCGUCACCCGCUCUUGUAGGCCCGGCCGGCGCUUGCCGACACAUCAAUCUUUUUUCCAGGUUGACCUCGGAUCAGGUAGGGAUACCCGCUGAACUUAAGCAUAUCAAUAAGCGGAGGA